Molecule: ribosomal RNA, 484 nt
Filed under: uncultured bacterium
Lineage: Bacteria
Description: bacterial SSU rRNA
Rfam family: Bacterial small subunit ribosomal RNA
Source: RNAcentral
GAUGAACGCUAGCGGCAGGCCUAAUACAUGCAAGUCGAGGGGCAGCAGGAAUAGCAAUAUUUGCUGGCGACCGGCGCACGGGUGCGUAACACGUAUACAAUCUGCCUUUAACAGGGGGAUAGCCCGGAGAAAUCCGGAUUAAUACCCCAUAAUAGAUCGAAUGGCAUCAUUUGAUUUUGAAAGCUCCGGCGGUUAAAGAUGAGUAUGCGUCUGAUUAGCUAGUUGGUGAGGUAACGGCUCACCAAGGCGACGAUCAGUAGGGGAUCUGAGAGGAUUAACCCCCACACGGAUACUGAGACACGGAUCCGACUCCUACGGGAGGCAGCAGUAAGGAAUAUUGGACAAUGCCCGCAAGGGUGAUCCAGCCAUGCCGCGUGCAGGAAGACGGCCCUAUGGGUUGUAAACUGCUUUUACACCGGAGAAACCUCCCCUCGUGAGGGGAGCUGAUAGUAUGGUGAGAAUAAGCAUCGGCUAACUUCGUGCC